RNAcentral lists this ribosomal RNA (468 nucleotides) under uncultured bacterium. Its description in RNAcentral is "partial 16S ribosomal RNA". It matches the Rfam family "Bacterial small subunit ribosomal RNA", at positions 28 to 507 of the family's 1533-position model. The record is from RNAcentral.
GACGAACGCUGGCGGCGUGCUUAACACAUGCAAGUCGAACGGAAAGGCCCUGCUCUUGUUGGGUGCUCGAGUGGCGAACGGGUGAGUAACACGUGAGUAACCUGCCCUUGACUUUGGGAUAACUUCAGGAAACUGGGGCUAAUAUCGGAUAGGAGCUCUUGCUGCAUGGUGGGGGUUGGAAAGUUUCGGCGGUUGGGGAUGGACUCGCGGCUUAUCAGCUUGUUGGUGGGGUAGUGGCUUACCAAGGCUUCGACGGGUAGCCGGCCUGAGAGGGUGACCGGCCACAAUGGGACUGAGAUACGGCCCAGACUCCUACGGUACGCAGCAGUGGGUAAUAUGGCAGAAUGGGCGGAAGCCUGAUGCAGCAGCGCCGCGAGCGGGAUGACGGCUUUCUGGUUGUAAACCGCUUUCGCCGGUGACGAAGCGUGAGUGACGGUAAUGAGUAAGAAAGCACCGGCUAACUACGUG